Delphinapterus leucas (beluga whale) is the source of this 1986-nucleotide non-coding RNA. Lineage: Eukaryota; Metazoa; Chordata; Mammalia; Artiodactyla; Monodontidae. The record is from RefSeq and is a predicted model, not a curated record.
GGCGGACUCCCAACCACUGCACCACCAGGGAAGCCCUCUCCAGAAGAAAAUAGUGGGCACAAGUCAUUGGAGCACGUGCAUAUGAAUGUGAUAAAACGCAGUGGUCUGCAUAGCCAAGAUAACAUGGAAUGAAUGACAAAACAAAUUUCUCCAAAGGAAGAGAAGAGCUGUGAGAUCCGGAGAGGACCGGCAGGUGAAAUGUCUAGACGGGGGACACAGGGAGCCACUGCCUGCUCUGCCGUGUUGAAUCAUCACGUUGACUACAUGCCAGGCACUGUAUUAUAAUAUCGUCACACCACUGUCCCAGUGUCCCCAAGUGAUAGGCUAACAACCAAGAGGAGAUAAAAGAUAAAAUAAGAGGUAGAAUUAUGGUGGAACAUGAAACAGAUCAAUCAAUGAAAGCAACUAUGUGAAUUGUGGAAUAUAAGUUCUCUUUGUGCUCUAUCAAAGUAAAAUUUGCAAAAAAUUUGACCAAGGUAAAAAAUUUAUGAAAAAAAUAAAGAGAAAAAAAUCUAUGAAAACUGUCUAAUGCAGAGCUUCUACUAAUACCUGAGUCAGACUUCACCCCUCUCCAAACAUUGUAACUAUUCUACAUUGGCUGGUGACUCUGAUUUCUAAAAAUGAAAAAUAUUUUGUUUUUACAUUCUGUGGCUUUUGUAUAACUAGAGAGGGUACAUUUGAGAGAGAGAGAGGAGAGACAGAAGAGAGAGGACAGAAGAAGAGAGGGAAGGAUGUAACAUGACUGAGAUGUAUUGAUAGAUUUUUAUUCUUCUAUUGAAUGACAGCCAUACAAUCAGAACAGCAGUGAGAUGCUUCCUCCUAAGUUGGAAAAAGGAGAAAUAAGGCUUGCCAUCUGUGGGAGUAGGCCUGGAGACCGUCAAUAGGUGCUUGAAGUGUUUGGGAACACGAAAAGCUCCAGUUAAGGUCACCUGGGUGUAAUUUCAAGCAGGCAGUUCUAGAAUGUGAUUUUAAUUUAGUAAUGGGAACCCAAUUGUAUUGUACUUCAUAUGGAGAAAGAGUUGAAUGCACAGAAGACAGUUCAGUCUGGAGAGAAAGAAAGGGAAACUACAACUGGGCAGUCCAGAGACCGGGAAUUAGGAGACACAGAUACUCAAUCACUGCAGCAUAUAUUGGGGCAAUGAUCCUUCAUCCCACAGCCCCACCUCUAGCAUGAAUAGGAGAUUUUGCUUAAGAUCAUGCAUAUUUCCAUUUGUUUUUAUUUUCUGCUCACUAAGUAGCAUUUUCAUCAUGAACUGUUCUGCUAAUGAGAAGGUAAUACCCUGGAUGGGAAAAAUAUCAUUAUUCUAGAACCUGGAAGGAGUGUCUUUCCCAGAAUAAGUGAAGGAAGGGACAGUCUAAUUGGACUGAUAAACUUCAAUCUCCUGUGAGUUUGAUUAGCUUGAUUAGUCUUUCCAGGACUGAUGAUGGAGAGACGCUGACAAGGUAAGAGCCAGAUCCAGAACUGUAUCACCUGUGAGGCCCAUUGGUGGACGGGAAGCUGGCCUUCCUCUGGAAAGCACUCUGCUGUUAACUACAUUGAAUACUUAACACUGCUGGGUCAUCAUUUAGGAACAAUACAUAUAGAUGGGAUAAGGCUUAUCAGUAUAUGCAUAUUUCCAACCUUGCUCCUUCCCUGACACUAAAAAGGACUCUAGCUUGGCCUAUUCAGUGCUGUUUCUUUUCCCCACUCUGCAAAUCGUAGUCCUGAUUUGUUUGAAUGGUUUUUGUGAUGGAGGGUUGAGAGGAAAAGGUGGGGAAUUGGGGAGCAAAAAGACAAGAUAUGCUUGUGUAGGGAUUUAAAGGAGAUUAGUGGUGGUCUGUGAGAGAAAUGGAUUGAGGAGAGAAAUAAGUAGUCAUCAAGGUCUGUGUAUCAGCUUCAUGGAGUUUGAAGUGACACAAGUAAAAUACUUUUUAUACUGAAAUUAUUUUAGUUGGAUGAAAUAGAAUGCAUUUUUUUAACCCACACAUUUUCUUCCUUUCUUUCUU